This 378-nucleotide ribosomal RNA is filed under the name uncultured bacterium. RNAcentral describes it as "bacterial SSU rRNA". It matches the Rfam family "Bacterial small subunit ribosomal RNA", at positions 28 to 398 of the family's 1533-position model. The record is from RNAcentral.
GAUGAACGCUAGCGGCAGGCUUAACACAUGCAAGUCGAGGGGUAUAGUUCUUCGGAAUUAGAGACCGGCGCACGGGUACGUAACGCGUAUGCAAUCUACCUUUCACAGAGGGAUAGCCCAGAGAAAUUUGGAUUAAUACCUCAUAGUAUAGCAGUUUCGCAUGAAACCACUAUUAAAGUCACAACGGUGAAAGAUGAGCAUGCGUCCCAUUAGCUAGUUGGUAAGGUAACGGCUUACCAAGGCAACCGAACUAGGGGGGUAAGGGGUUACCGGUGAGAGGGAGAUCCCCACACUGGUACUGAGACACGGACCAGACUCCUACGGGAGGCAGCAGUGAGGAAUAUUGGACAAUAGGCGCGACGACCGUACGUACGUACC